This 253-nucleotide ribosomal RNA is filed under the name uncultured bacterium. Its description in RNAcentral is "partial 16S ribosomal RNA". It matches the Rfam family "Bacterial small subunit ribosomal RNA", at positions 524 to 776 of the family's 1533-position model. The record is from RNAcentral.
UACGUAGGGUGCGAGCGUUGUCCGGAAUUAUUGGGCGUAAAGGGCUCGUAGGCGGUUUGUCGCGUCGGCCGUGAAAUCUCCACGCUUAACGUGGAGCGUGCGGUCGAUACGGGCAGACUUGAGUUCGGUAGGGGAGACUGGAAUUCCUGGUGUAGCGGUGAAAUGCGCAGAUAUCAGGAGGAACACCGGUGGCGAAGGCGGGUCUCUGGGCCGAUACUGACGCUGAGGAGCGAAAGCGUGGGGAGCGAACAGG